AAUUUUAGAUGAAAUUUGUUAGUAAAAUAGGUUUCAAUUGGAAAUUAUUUCAAUAAUAAUAUAAAGCUCCAGUUUAAAAAUAGGGAUUAGAUACCCCUUUAUUAGGUUGAAGAAAUUUUUGUCCACGGUUAGAAACUGAAAGGGUUUGGCAGCAAACUAAAUUCUUCCGGGGGAAGGUGCUUAUUAAAGAGAUGAUCCGCUUACUAUUUUACUAUACCUAAUGUUAGUGUAUAUCCGUUUGUAUAUUCACGCUUAGAGGUAAUAAGUGGGUAAAUAUUAAUUAAUUUAAGGCAGGU
This 296-nucleotide ribosomal RNA is filed under the name Schistosoma mekongi. RNAcentral's name for it is "partial small subunit ribosomal RNA". Lineage: Eukaryota; Metazoa; Platyhelminthes; Trematoda; Strigeidida; Schistosomatidae. The record is from RNAcentral.